RNAcentral lists this ribosomal RNA (515 nucleotides) under uncultured bacterium. Its description in RNAcentral is "partial 16S ribosomal RNA". It matches the Rfam family "Bacterial small subunit ribosomal RNA", at positions 28 to 523 of the family's 1533-position model. The record is from RNAcentral.
GAUGAACGCUGGCGGCGUGCCUAAUACAUGCAAGUCGAGCGAAUGGAUUAAGAGCUUGCUCUUAUGAAGUUAGCGGCGGACGGGUGAGUAACACGUGGGUAACCUGCCCAUAAGACUGGGAUAACUCCGGGAAACCGGGGCUAAUACCGGAUCACAUUUUGAACCGCAUGGUUCGAAAUUGAAAGGCGGCUUCGGCUGUCCCUUAUGGAUGGACCCGCAUCGCAUUAGCUAGUUGGGGAGGUAACGGCUCACCAAGGCAACGAUGCGUAGCCGACCUGAGAGGGUGAUCGGCCACACUGGGACUGAGACACGGCCCAGACUCCUACGGGAGGCAGCAGUAGGGAAUCUUCCGCAAUGGACGAAAGUCUGACGGAGCAACGCCGCGUGAGUGAUGAAGGCUUUCGGGUCGUAAAACUCUGUUGUUAGGGAAGAACAAGUGCUAGUUGAAUAAGCUGGCACCUUGACGGUACCUAACCAGAAAGCCACGGCUAACUACGUGCCAGCAGCCGCCGUAA